This 168-nucleotide ribosomal RNA is filed under the name uncultured bacterium. Its description in RNAcentral is "partial 16S ribosomal RNA". It matches the Rfam family "Bacterial small subunit ribosomal RNA", at positions 355 to 516 of the family's 1533-position model. The record is from RNAcentral.
UAGGGAAUCUUCCACAAUGGACGAAAGUCUGAUGGAGCAACGCCGCGUGAGUGAAGAAGGGUUUCGGCUGUAAAGCUCUGUUGGUAGUGAAGAAAGAUAGAGGUAGUAACUGGCCUUUAUUUGACGGUAAUUACUUAGAAAGUCACGGCUAACUACGUGCCAGCAGCC